Non-coding RNA from Rhodococcus erythropolis PR4, 95 nucleotides. The record is from Rfam. NCBI's taxonomy places the organism in Bacteria, Bacillati, Actinomycetota, Actinomycetes, Mycobacteriales, Nocardiaceae.
CGACCAUCCAGAGCGACCGAGAGACCUGGCUCAUUGAAGUCGCAGCAACCCCCCGAGUGAUCGGGUGCGGGUGCUACCGCCAGGACCGAUGGAGG